AAUCAUGCUCAGAUUGAACGCUGGCGGCAGGCCUAACACAUGCAAGUCGAGCGGAUGAAGAGAGCUUGCUCUCUGAUUCAGCGGCGGACGGGUGAGUAAUGCCUAGGAAUCUGCCUGAUAGUGGGGGACAACGUUUCGAAAGGAACGCUAAUACCGCAUACGUCCUACGGGAGAAAGCAGGGGACCUUCGGGCCUUGCGCUAUCAGAUGAGCCUAGAUCGGAUUAG
RNAcentral lists this ribosomal RNA (226 nucleotides) under uncultured bacterium. Its description in RNAcentral is "partial 16S ribosomal RNA". It matches the Rfam family "Bacterial small subunit ribosomal RNA", at positions 16 to 244 of the family's 1533-position model. The record is from RNAcentral.